AGUGAACGCUGGCGGUAGGCCUAACACAUGCAAGUCGAACGGCAGCACAGUAAGAGCUUGCUCUUACGGGUGGCGAGUGGCGGACGGGUGAGGAAUACAUCGGAAUCUACUUUUUCGUGGGGGAUAACGUAGGGAAACUUACGCUAAUACCGCAUACGACCUACGGGUGAAAGCAGGGGAUCUUCGGACCUUGCGCGAUUGAAUGGGCCGAUGUCGGAUUAGCUAGUUGGCGGGGUAAAGGCCCACCAAGGCGACGAUCCGUAGCUGGUCUGAGAGGAUGAUCAGCCACCCUGGAACUGGGACAGGGUCCAGACCCCUAGGGGGGGCAGGAGGGGGGAAUAUUGGAAAAUGGGGGAAAGCCUGAUCCAGCCAUCCCGGGGGGGGAAAGAAGGCCUUCGGGUGUUAAAGCCCUUUUGUGGGGAAAAAAAAGCAGCAGGUUAAUACCCCGCUGUUCUGACGGUACCCAAAAAAUAAGCACCGGCAACCUUCGG
This 491-nucleotide ribosomal RNA is filed under the name uncultured bacterium. RNAcentral describes it as "partial 16S ribosomal RNA". It matches the Rfam family "Bacterial small subunit ribosomal RNA", at positions 29 to 506 of the family's 1533-position model. The record is from RNAcentral.